RNAcentral lists this ribosomal RNA (403 nucleotides) under Verrucomicrobiota bacterium. RNAcentral describes it as "Verrucomicrobia bacterium partial 16S ribosomal RNA". It matches the Rfam family "Bacterial small subunit ribosomal RNA", at positions 355 to 776 of the family's 1533-position model. The record is from RNAcentral. Lineage: Bacteria; Pseudomonadati; Verrucomicrobiota.
UGGGGAAUAUUGCACAAUGGGCGCAAGCCUGAUGCAGCAACGCCGCGUGAACGAUGAAGGUCUUCGGAUCGUAAAGUUCUGUUGCAGGGGGAGAUAAUGACGGUACCCUGUGAGGAAGCCCCGGCUAACUACGUGCCAGCAGCCGCGGUAAUACGUAGGGGGCUAGCGUUAUCCGGAUUUACUGGGCGUAAAGGGUGCGUAGGUGGUCUUUCAAGUCGGUGGUUAAAGGCUACGGCUCAACCGUAGUUAGCCUCCGAAACUGGAAGACUUGAGUGCAGGAGAGGAAAGUGGAAUUCCCAGUGUAGCGGUGAAAUGCGUAGAUAUUGGGAGGAACACCAGUAGCGAAGGCGGCUUUCUGGACUGCAACAGACACUGAGGCACGAAAGCGUGGGUAGCAAACAGG